GAUGAACGCUGGCGGCGUGCCUAAUACAUGCAAGUCGAACGAACAGACGAGGAGCUUGCUGGUCUGAGGUUAGGGGCGGCCGGGUGAGUAACACGUGGAUAACAUCCUUAUACGACUUGGAUAAUAACGGGAUACCGGAGCUACUACCGCAGAAUAUAUUGAACCUGAUGGUUGAUUGGUGAGAGACGGUUUUUGUUUCGCUUAUAGAUGGGUUCGCGGCGCAUUAGCUGGUUGGUGAGGUGACGGCGUACCAAGGCGACGAUGCGUAGCCGGCCUGAGAGGGUGGUCGGCGACACUGGAACUGAGGAACGGUCCAGACUCCUACGAGAGGCAGCAGUAGGGAAUAUUCCGGAAUGGGGGGAAGCCGGACGGAGCAACGCCGCGUGAGUGAUGAAGGUCUUCGGAUCGUAAAGAUCUGUUUUUAGGGAUGAACAAAUGUGUAAGUAACUAUGCACGUCUUGACGGUACCUGAUCAGAAAGCCACGGCUAACUACGUG
This 497-nucleotide ribosomal RNA is filed under the name uncultured bacterium. RNAcentral describes it as "partial 16S ribosomal RNA". It matches the Rfam family "Bacterial small subunit ribosomal RNA", at positions 28 to 507 of the family's 1533-position model. The record is from RNAcentral.